RNAcentral lists this ribosomal RNA (442 nucleotides) under uncultured bacterium. RNAcentral's name for it is "partial 16S ribosomal RNA". It matches the Rfam family "Bacterial small subunit ribosomal RNA", at positions 338 to 795 of the family's 1533-position model. The record is from RNAcentral.
CCUACGGGUGGCAGCAGUGGGGAAUAUUGGGCAAUGGACGCAAGUCUGACCCAGCAACGCCGCGUGAAGGAAGAAGGCUUUCGGGUUGUAAACCUCUUUUAAUGGGGAAGAGCAGAAGACGGUACCCCUUGAAUAAGCUACGGCUAACUACGUGCCAUCAGCCGCGGUAAUGCGUAGGUGGCAGGCGUUGUCCGGAUUUACUGGGUGUUAAGGGCGUGCAGCCGGUGAGACAAGUCAGAUUGGAAAUUCGCAGGCGCAACCUGCGAACUGCAUUUGAACCUGUUUCCCUUGAGUAUCGGAGAGGUAAUCGGAAUGCGUAGUGUAGCGGUGAAAUGCGUAGAUAGUAGGAAGAACACCAGUGGCGAAGGCGGAUGACUGGACGAAAACUGACGGUGAGGCGCGAAAGCGUGGGGAGCAAACAGGAUUAGAUACCCGAGUAGUC